RNAcentral lists this ribosomal RNA (186 nucleotides) under uncultured bacterium. RNAcentral's name for it is "partial 16S ribosomal RNA". It matches the Rfam family "Bacterial small subunit ribosomal RNA", at positions 1315 to 1500 of the family's 1533-position model. The record is from RNAcentral.
ACUACAUGAAACCGGAAUCGCUAGUAAUCGCGGAUCAGAAUGCCGCGGUGAAUACGUUCCCGGGUCUUGUACACACCGCCCGUCACACCAUGGGAGUUGGAAAUGCCCGAAGUCAGUGGCCCAACCGGAAGGGGGGAGCUGCCGAAGGCAGGUUCGAUGACUGGGGUGAAGUCGUAACAAGGUACC